CCUACGGGGGGCUGCAGUGGGGAAUAUUGGGCAAUGGGCGCAAGACUGACCCAGCAACGCCGCGUGAAGGAAGAAGGCUUUCGGGUUGUAAACUUCUUUUAAGAGGGAAGAGCAGAAGACGGUACCUCUUGAAUAAGCCACGGCUAACUACGUGCCAGCAGCCGCGGUCAUACGUAGGUGGCAAGCGUUGUCCGGAUUUACUGGGUGUAACGGGCGUGCAGCCGGGAAGACAAGUCAGAUGGGAAAUCCCGCGGCUCAACCGCGGAACUGCAUUUGAAACUGUUUUUCUUGAGUACCGGAGAGGUCAUCGGAAUUCCUUGUGUAGCGGUGAAAUGCGUAGAUAUAAGGAAGAACACCAGGGGCGAAGGCGGAUGACUGGACGGCAACUGACGGUGAGGCGCGAAAGCGUGGGGAGCAAACAGGAUUAGAUACCCGGGUAGUC
Molecule: ribosomal RNA, 442 nt
Filed under: uncultured bacterium
Lineage: Bacteria
Description: partial 16S ribosomal RNA
Rfam family: Bacterial small subunit ribosomal RNA
Source: RNAcentral